UCAAGUGAAUAAGUGCAUCAGGCGGAUGCCUUGGCGAUGAUAGGCGACGAAGGACGUGUAAGCCUGCGAAAAGCGCGGGGGAGCUGGCAAUAAAGCUAUGAUUCCGCGAUGUCCGAAUGGGGAAACCCACUGCAUUCUGUGCAGUAUCCUAAGUUGAAUACAUAGGCUUAGAGAAGCGAACCCGGAGAACUGAACCAUCUAAGUACCCGGAGGAAAAGAAAUCAACCGAGAUUCCGCAAGUAGUGGCGAGCGAACGCGGAGGAGCCUGUACGUAAUAACUGUCGAGAUAGAAGAACAAGCUGGGAAGCUUGACCAUAGCGGGUGACAGUCCCGUAUUCGAAAUCUCAACAGCGGUACUAAGCGUACGAAAAGUAGGGCGGGACACGUGAAAUCCUGUCUGAAUAUGGGGGGACCAUCCUCCAAGGCUAAAUACUCAUCAUCGACCGAUAGUGAACCAGUACCGUGAGGGAAAGGCGAAAAGAACCCCGGGAGGGGAGUGAAACAGAACCUGAAACCUGAUGCAUACAAACAGUGGGAGCGCCCUAGUGGUGUGACUGCGUACCUUUUGUAUAAUGGGUCAACGACUUACAUUCAGUAGCGAGCUUAACCGGAUAGGGGAGGCGUAGGGAAACCGAGUCUUAAUAGGGCGAUGAGUUGCUGGGUGCAGACCCGAAACCGAGUGAUCUAUCCAUGGCCAGGUUGAAGGUGCCGUAACAGGUACUGGAGGACCGAACCCACGCAUGUUGCAAAAUGCGGGGAUGAGCUGUGGGUAGGGGUGAAAGGCUAAACAAACUCGGAGAUAGCUGGUUCUCCCCGAAAACUAUUUAGGUAGUGCCUCGAGCAAGACACUGAUGGGGGUAAAGCACUGUUAUGGCUAGGGGGUUAUUGCAACUUACCAACCCAUGGCAAACUCAGAAUACCAUCAAGUGGUUCCUCGGGAGACAGACAGCGGGUGCUAACGUCCGUUGUCAAGAGGGAAACAACCCAGACCGCCGGCUAAGGUCCCAAAUGAUAGAUUAAGUGGUAAACGAAGUGGGAAGGCACAGACAGCCAGGAUGUUGGCUUAGAAGCAGCCAUCAUUUAAAGAAAGCGUAAUAGCUCACUGGUCGAGUCGUCCUGCGCGGAAGAUGUAACGGGGCUCAAAUCUAUAACCGAAGCUGCGGAUGCCGGUUUACCGGCAUGGUAGGGGAGCGUUCUGUAGGCUGAUGAAGGUGCAUUGUAAAGUGUGCUGGAGGUAUCAGAAGUGCGAAUGUUGACAUGAGUAGCGAUAAAGCGGGUGAAAAGCCCGCUCGCCGAAAGCCCAAGGUUUCCUACGCAACGUUCAUCGGCGUAGGGUAAGUCGGCCCCUAAGGCGAGGCAGAAAUGCGUAGUCGAUGGGAAACAGGUUAAUAUUCCUGUACUUGAUUCAAAUGCGAUGUGGGGACGGAGAAGGUUAGGUUGGCAAGCUGUUGGAAUAGCUUGUUUAAGCCGGUAGGUGGAAGACUUAGGCAAAUCCGGGUUUUCUUAACACCGAGAAGUGAUGACGAGUGUCUACGGACACGAAGCAACCGAUACCACGCUUCCAGGAAAAGCCACUAAGCUUCAGUUUGAAUCGAACCGUACCGCAAACCGACACAGGUGGGUAGGAUGAGAAUUCUAAGGCGCUUGAGAGAACUCGGGAGAAGGAACUCGGCAAAUUGAUACCGUAACUUCGGGAGAAGGUAUGCCCUCUAAGGUUAAGGACUUGCUCCGUAAGCCCCGGAGGGUCGCAGAGAAUAGGUGGCUGCGACUGUUUAUUAAAAACACAGCACUCUGCCAACACGAAAGUGGACGUAUAGGGUGUGACGCCUGCCCGGUGCCGGAAGGUUAAUUGAAGAUGUGCAAGCAUCGGAUCGAAGCCCCGGUAAACGGCGGCCGUAACUAUAACGGUCCUAAGGUAGCGAAAUUCCUUGUCGGGUAAGUUCCGACCCGCACGAAUGGCGUAACGAUGGCCACACUGUCUCCUCCCGAGACUCAGCGAAGUUGAAGUGGUUGUGAAGAUGCAAUCUACCCGCUGCUAGACGGAAAGACCCCGUGAACCUUUACUGUAGCUUUGCAUUGGACUUUGAAGUCACUUGUGUAGGAUAGGUGGGAGGCUUGGAAGCAGAGACGCCAGUCUCUGUGGAGUCGUCCUUGAAAUACCACCCUGGUGUCUUUGAGGUUCUAACCCAGACCCGUCAUCCGGGUCGGGGACCGUGCAUGGUAGGCAGUUUGACUGGGGCGGUCUCCUCCCAAAGCGUAACGGAGGAGUUCGAAGGUUACCUAGGUCCGGUCGGAAAUCGGACUGAUAGUGCAAUGGCAAAAGGUAGCUUAACUGCGAGACCGACAAGUCGGGCAGGUGCGAAAGCAGGACAUAGUGAUCCGGUGGUUCUGUAUGGAAGGGCCAUCGCUCAACGGAUAAAAGGUACUCCGGGGAUAACAGGCUGAUUCCGCCCAAGAGUUCAUAUCGACGGCGGAGUUUGGCACCUCGAUGUCGGCUCAUCACAUCCUGGGGCUGUAGUCGGUCCCAAGGGUAUGGCUGUUCGCCAUUUAAAGUGGUACGUGAGCUGGGUUUAAAACGUCGUGAGACAGUUUGGUCCCUAUCUGCAGUGGGCGUUGGAAGUUUGACGGGGGCUGCUCCUAGUACGAGAGGACCGGAGUGGACGAACCUCUGGUGUACCGGUUGUAACGCCAGUUGCAUAGCCGGGUAGCUAAGUUCGGAAGAGAUAAGCGCUGAAAGCAUCUAAGCGCGAAACUCGCCUGAAGAUGAGACUUCCCUUGCGGUUUAACCGCACUAAAGGGUCGUUCGAGACCAGGACGUUGAUAGGUGGGGUGUGGAAGCGCGGUAACGCGUGAAGCUAACCCAUACUAAUUGCCCGUGAGGCUUGACUCU
RNAcentral lists this ribosomal RNA (2890 nucleotides) under Neisseria gonorrhoeae MS11. Its description in RNAcentral is "bacterial LSU rRNA". It matches the Rfam family "Bacterial large subunit ribosomal RNA". The record is from RNAcentral. Lineage: Bacteria; Pseudomonadati; Pseudomonadota; Betaproteobacteria; Neisseriales; Neisseriaceae.